RNAcentral lists this ribosomal RNA (748 nucleotides) under uncultured archaeon. RNAcentral's name for it is "bacterial SSU rRNA". It matches the Rfam family "Archaeal small subunit ribosomal RNA", at positions 88 to 838 of the family's 1478-position model. The record is from RNAcentral.
GCUCAGUAACACGUGGACAACGUACCCUAAAGUGGAGCAUAAUCUCGGGAAACUGAGGAUAAUUCUCCAUAGACCAUGAGAUCUGGAAUGACUUAUGGUUCAAAGUUCCGGCGCUUUAGGAUCGGUCUGCGGCCUAUCAGGUAGUAGUGGGUGUAACGUACCCCCUAGCCGUUGACGGGUAUGGGCCUUGAGAGAGGGAGCCCAGAGUUGGAUUCUGAGACACGAAUCCAGGCCCUACGGGGCGCAGCAGUCGCGAAAACUUCACAAUGGGCGAAAGCCCGAUGAGGGAAUUCCUAGUGCUAGCACUUUUGUGCUAGCUUUUCUUCAGCGUAGAUAACUGGAGGAAUAAGGGCUGGGUAAGACGGGUGCCAGCCGCCGCGGUAAUACCCGCAGCCCGAGUGGUGGUCGAUUUUAUUGAGUCUAAAACGUUCGUAGCCGGUCUAAUAAAUCCUUGGGUAAAUCGGAAGGCUUAACUUUCCGAAUUCCGAGGAGACUGUUAGGCUUGGGAUCGGGAGAGGUAAGAGGUACUUCAGGGGUAGGGGUAAAAUCCUGUAAUCCUUGGAGGACCACCGGUGGCGAAGGCGUCUUACUAGAACGAAUCCGACGGUGAGGGACGAAGCCCUAGGUCGCAAACGGGAUUAGAUACCCCGGUAGUCUAGGGUGUAAACGCUGCAGACUUGGUGUUGGGGGCCCUUCGGGGGCAUUCAGUGCCGGAGAGAGGUUGUUAAGUCUGCUACUUGGGGAGUAC